Molecule: transfer RNA, 77 nt
Filed under: Bacillota bacterium
Lineage: Bacteria; Bacillati; Bacillota
Description: tRNA-Pro
Rfam family: tRNA
About the family: Transfer RNA (tRNA) molecules are approximately 80 nucleotides in length. Their secondary structure includes four short double-helical elements and three loops (D, anti-codon, and T loops). Further hydrogen bonds mediate the characteristic L-shaped molecular structure. tRNAs have two regions of fundamental functional importance: the anti-codon, which is responsible for specific mRNA codon recognition, and the 3' end, to which the tRNAs corresponding amino acid is attached (by aminoacyl-tRNA synthetases). tRNAs cope with the degeneracy of the genetic code in two manners: having more than one tRNA (with a specific anti-codon) for a particular amino acid; and 'wobble' base-pairing, i.e. permitting non-standard base-pairing at the 3rd anti-codon position.
Source: RNAcentral
CGGGGUGUGGCGCAGCUUGGUAGCGCGCCUGCCUUGGGAGCAGGAGGCCCGCGGUUCAAAUCCGCGCACCCCGACCA